CUUAUAAUCAUGACUUCUGUAUCUCAUAAUUAAAGUCAGAAUUGACUGAUUUUAAUCUCAGAAUUCUGACCUCCGUCGGAAUUCCUAGUUUACUUUAGAGUCAGAAUUCUGGCUACACACUACACCGGCAUAAAUAUCCAACAAUGCAAUGCAGUAGUGAGGAUGACAACAAUAACAUUACAGACAAUGGCGGACAGUGACCGAGGCAGCUCUAGCGUAACAUCAAUAAUGCUUCAAUUCAAGGUUUGGCCGCCAUGUCAAAUUUGCUUCAAAGCCCGGUGCUCUUCAUGGAUGUAUUAUCGUCUGUGUUCAGAUUUCUCUGAGUUAUGACUCAAACGAUGAGUAGCCUACGAGUUUUUACGCAAAUCGUGGCUCACGUCUCACUCCUAUCAAAAGGUGAAGGGCAUCUCAUAUAUAUUGUAUGACUCAAACUUUUGUUUUAAGAUAACAUGCAUACAUACAAUUGUGUUUAUAUAUGCAUCUUCUCUGAUAAUUUGAUGUUGAUGUUAUUUUCAUAGUACCACUCCAGUAAUGAAUUAAAUUAGGUUUUUUUGUCCUCACUUGUAUCUUGUUAUCAAACUCACUAAUGCCAUGUCAUCACAGCUUAUUUAUGUGUGUUCACAACCCAGAGGAUGACCAUUAGUGGUUGAAAUGUUGUCAUGUCCAUGUAGAAUCAUAAGAACUGGGAACAAGGUUGCAGAGUGCGAGUACUUUUCAUUCUUUUUUAUUAAAUGACUGACCAUAAUAUUUCCAAGGAGACUGUCUAAUGCCACAUCAACUUAUUUUGCUUCCUUCAGUCAACAAGUUCUCCUAACUCCUAAUUACAUACAUUAAAAAAGAAUACAUUUUCACUGGUUCUGAUUGAUUACACAUAUUCCUGUUGCUGGGCAUUUAUGUAUGUAAUUGAGCACUGUAUGUUCUAAACUGUACUAUAUGUACAUAAAUGAUUCCAAAUCCAGCAAUGCACAGAGAGUCUUUAUUAAUUCAGUCUGUUAAGUCAAUGCUCUUAGGAGGAGUUAAUCAAAAAGCUUAUUUUUGAGUGGAGAGUUUAUUUAUCAUGUCAUCCAAGAGUAGAGAUGAAAAGCUCCUGCUUGCUGCAGCAAGUGCAGUAUAUUGCCUCUGUCUUCUUUGAUGGUUCGUCACCCAGGGCAUAUAUGCAGCCCAACAAGGACAUCGUCAAUUUUCAACAGCAGAAUUUGUAUAGCAUCCAACAGCAAGUUUGUCUUUUAUGAAAAGUCACCACAAAUACACAGCUUUAAAACAAUUAACUAAAUACUGUUACAGUUUCCAACUUUAUUGUUAUUUAAGUCUCUGGAGAAGUAACCCCAAAGUAUAAGUAAAACACAGAGCAGAGUUCCCCCUGCUAUGUGUGGUAUUCAGUCAGACAUCCUGCCAUUAAAAAUAACAUUAGUCUGGGUUUCAGUGUCCCACAAUUUGAUCUUUUGGAAGAAUAUCUUUCUUGGCAUGCAAACAAUCCAGUAAGACACACUGUAUGCAUAU
This is a long non-coding RNA of Thunnus maccoyii (southern bluefin tuna), 1500 nucleotides long. RefSeq lists it as uncharacterized. NCBI's taxonomy places the organism in Eukaryota, Metazoa, Chordata, Actinopteri, Scombriformes, Scombridae. The transcript has 2 exons. The record is from RefSeq and is a predicted model, not a curated record.